This 447-nucleotide unclassified non-coding RNA is filed under the name Hevea brasiliensis (rubber tree). The record is from RNAcentral. Lineage: Eukaryota; Viridiplantae; Streptophyta; Magnoliopsida; Malpighiales; Euphorbiaceae.
GCUCCAUUCCUAUUAUUUCCUUUCUCAUAUCUAGCUCUGCCAUGCGUAACAAUAUCUUGACUGUUUUAUCAAUUCUUUUGGCUAGGAAAGAUGAAACUUGACUCCCUAGUCCCUGGGUAUGGGGAGAUGCAAUUAAGUCAAAACAUCCAAAGGGUUGACAACCCUUUAGACUGUCUACGCAAAGAAUUGUUCCUGCAGCACCAUUAUCUAAAUCUUUUUUUUUAAUUUCCUGAUUUUAUAUUUUACCCUCAAAGUAGCAGUCACCAACUCAAUUUCUUGAUGUUAGGGGGAGAAAUAUUAUUAAAACAAGAACAAAUACAGCAAGAUGAUUAAGUGAUACUCAUAUAAUCAUAGUUAUGGUGUUAUAAGUCAAGAAAAGAUUACAUUAACAUAAAAUCUUCUGAAUGUUGAAAUAAAUUUAGAAAAAUGAGAUGCAUUUGCUAAAUU